RNAcentral lists this ribosomal RNA (253 nucleotides) under uncultured bacterium. RNAcentral's name for it is "partial 16S ribosomal RNA". It matches the Rfam family "Bacterial small subunit ribosomal RNA", at positions 524 to 776 of the family's 1533-position model. The record is from RNAcentral.
UACGUAGGGUGCGAGCGUUGAUCGGAAUUACUGGGCGUAAAGAGUGCGUAGGUGGUUGAUUAAGUUAUCUGUGAAAUCCCUGGGCUUAACCUGGGGCGGUCAGAUAAGACUGGUUGACUCGAGUAUGGGAGAGGGUAGUGGGAUUUCCGGUGUAGCGGUGAAAUGCGUAGAGAUCGGAAGGAACACCAGUGGCGAAGGCGGCUACCUGGCCUAAUACUGACACUGAGGCACGAAAGCGUGGGGAGCAAACAGG